This 486-nucleotide ribosomal RNA is filed under the name uncultured bacterium. RNAcentral's name for it is "partial 16S ribosomal RNA". It matches the Rfam family "Bacterial small subunit ribosomal RNA", at positions 29 to 507 of the family's 1533-position model. The record is from RNAcentral.
AUUGAACGCUGGCGGCAUGCUUUACACAUGCAAGUCGAGCGGCAGCGCGGGGGCAACCCUGGCGGCGAGCGGCGAACGGGUGAGUAAUGCAUCGGAACGUAUCCUCGAGUGGGGGAUAACCCAGCGAAAGUUGGGCUAAUACCGCAUGAGCUCUGAGGAGGAAAGCGGGGGACCUGCGAGGGCCUCGCGCUGGAGGAGCGGCCGAUGUCCGAUUAGCUAGUUGGUGGGGUAAAGGCUUACCAAGGCGACGAUCGGUAGCUGGUCUGAGAGGAUGAUCAGCCACACUGGGACUGAGACACGGCCCAGACUCCUACGGGAGGCAGCAGUGGGGAAUUUUGGGCAAUGGGGGCAACCCUGAUCCAGCCAUGCCGCGUGAGUGAAGAAGGCCUUCGGGUUGUAAAGCUCUUUCGGACGGAACGAAAUGGGCGGGACUAAUACUCCUGUCUGAUGACGGUACCGUAAGAAGAAGCACCGGCUAACUACGUG